Non-coding RNA from Python bivittatus (Burmese python), 10436 nucleotides. The record is from RefSeq and is a predicted model, not a curated record. Lineage: Eukaryota; Metazoa; Chordata; Lepidosauria; Squamata; Pythonidae.
GAUGGCCCUAGAGUAAGCCAGAUGGAACAGGAUAGAACUAAUCAUGAUGAAGGCAAUGGUUUAAAUCCUUUUUUAAUUCCACAUCCUUCUCAUGUUUACCAAGCAGAGCCUUUGUCAGUGAAGCUGCAGAAUGGAAACACAUCAGCAGAAAAGAUCUACAAUGAAUUGAAUGGCCACCAUAUGUGGCUGCACGGGAAGGCCAGCUAUGGAAUGAAGCAUACUGCUAAAAGGAAUGAAAGUAGUAGAAUAAGCCCUGACCUUCUUCAGCAAAAGAAACAUUGCAGUGGGUAUUUGCAAAAUGGAGGGAUAAAACGCACUUUUAGUGAGCCUUCUUUGUACGGGCUUCACCAGAACAAGAAGCUUAAACAAGAUGAAGAAGCAAAAAGAGGGCAAGAUAGCUCAUUCACUGUCAGCAACCAAGCAGGCGCUUCUAAUGCAAGCAGUGAGAAGAAUGUUGUGGGUUUUGGAAUAGAACAAAGUACAGCUUCAGUUCUUAUACAGUCUUUAAGAUGCAACUCUGGUGCUUCAGAAUCUCCUCCUGUUCCCCAGAUUCAGAAUGAACAGGGGGGAGAAAAUAUUAACUGCCACAACAGUGACAAUGUCUUGGCAUAUAAGAACAAGGCAGUUCCAAUGCCUAAUGGUGCUAUAGUUUCUGCCUCUUCUAUGGAAAACAUGCAUGGUGAAUUCCUGGAAAAAACACUGUCUCAGUAUAAUCCAGAACAUGUUUUCAUUGGAAUGCAGACAACUACAUCUCUUACAAAUGCCAUAAACACUCGGGCUAUUAAUGUGUUGGCGUGUGGCACAUCACAUUUAUUGCAUACCUCAGGGCAGAUAAGUUCCCUUCAAACCUCAAACUCUGAGCUGCCUCAGGUGCUAGCUUCUGUAGCUACUGAGGUCCACAAUAUAGAAAACUCCAGUAAAGGAUCCAUUUUACAAGCAAGCUCGACUUUUCAGGAUUCAGAGGUAAUGAAUUCAGAGCAGCAAAAGUCGGAAAAUACCUAUCAGUCACCUACAGACAACCGUGAAGUUUCAGGAAACACAGGGCAGGUUCCCAGUCAGGAUUUCUCCCUCAAUCCUAACAACAGUCUGAACACUCAUAACAAUAGCUCAGAGGUUUUGUCAGAGCCAAGAGAAGAAACUGGUGCUUCCUUCCAACAAGAUUCCAUGUUCAGGGAUGAUUCUUUUAAUCUACCCCCUAUUGCACCACCUUCUCCAGUGGAGGAAAUAAGCAAUGCGCUCUCUAUUGAGACUUCAGAAGAACCUAGUAAUGUUUCCAAUUUGAAAGAAGAAAAUAAUGGAGGGCUACCACAUCAUCAGGGGGAAUGUGCAACACAAUUUUCUGGCUUUUGCCAGCAAGCUUUUAGUUCUCAACAGGGUCAUCAAUACAAGAUUCAGGUUUCACAAGCAGCUGGGAGUGAAACAGAUAUGACACUCAGUACCGUGACACUGGGUGUAAGGCAGCAAUAUCCCAGUGAAAUUCAGUCCAAACUGGAGUCUAAAGUUCAGGAUCCACAAAGAUUAGGAAUCAGUAAAGAAUUGCAACAUUUUCCACAUCUUCUGAGCCAGAUUAAUCAGCAGACUACUCCUGAUAAUGAAAAAGAUCUGGUGAAAAAUCAUUUGCAGCAGUCACAAGCCCAUUCACAAGCUUCUUGGAUGAAAAUGACUUCUUCUCACUUUCACCCCAGUGAUUCUCCCCCAAAAUCAAAUGAGAUACUUUUGAGGACCAUGCUUCAACUCCAGGAAAAUUCAACCGAGCAGACACACCCAAAACAAUAUAAUAGAAGCUGCAAUGAAUCAAAAGGAGUUACAGGGCAAUCUUGCUACCAGAACAUUACACAGGGUGAGCAAAUACCAGUACUAUUCAGGGGUGAGGCAGCACAACUGCCUCAUCAUUUUACUCAUGAUUUGCAAAUCCCAUUCCCAAAGCACUCCCCACAAUCCAAAAAGAUGGAUGAUCAGCAGCAAAAUUCGAGGCACUUUCACUUUCAGCCACAGUCUGAACUCCACCUUGAACAGACUUUGGAGGCACAGUUAAAGCCUCAGCACUUAGAUCUUCCACCACUUGAGAAUGAGCAAUUCAUACAUUCACAUAUUUUGCCACCGGUACACCAGACUCAGCCAGUACAACCACCACAGAGUUCACAAGUAACAAUGAACUCCCCACAACAAAUGAAAACCACAAAAUUGCCCCAGAUCUUUCCCCAGUCAAACAACAGUCAAGAACAACAAAGGGAUGGAACAUCAUUAAAUCAGCUUAAAUUAGAAGAGUGCUUUGAAAUAGCAAGUAAUUACUUCAAAUCAACUGAAUUCCCAGUACAAAUCCCCCAGACCAGAUCAGACCAUAUUUCAAAUAUAACCAAUAAAGACUCCCUUUAUAAUCAGGCUUUUAAAGCAAAUAAUGUAAUAAAGCAUUCCUGCUCAAACAACAUGCACUUGGUUUCUGAGAAAAAGGAAGAUCCCAUAAACACAGAGCUCUUAACUCAAAAUAUAACUCAUGAUUUGCAGCACAUGCAAUAUUACCCAAAUAAUGCAACUCCAAAAGAAGAUCUGCCCCAGAGCUUUCAGGAACAAAAACCUGCAUCUCCACCAACUUCAUUUCUACAGCUACCCUUCCAGCAAGCACAGGAAUAUUCUAACUUGACUACCAAGGUGGAUAACUCACAAGCUACUCAGAUUCAACAAAGAUACUCACCCUAUACUCAGCAAGCAGCAUCCCAUAAAAUAGAUCAGAGCCAUGGCCACUAUCUUCCCUCUCAACCCCACAGAGAUUUUCAAAAGCAUGCUGCUAUCAGAUGGCAUAUCUUGAAUAAACAACAAGUUAACCAAAAUAAAUCUGAGUCAUGUCAUACUAUGGGCUUCAAAUCUAUCAAAGCUGAAACUGGCCCAAAGGCAAAUGUCUGCCUUCCUCCACUGCUUGGACAGUUGGAAAACAAAACAUGGAAGAAAGCAAUUAAGCAAGAGGUUCAGCACUUUGGCUGCGACAACAUGCAACAAAAGAGUAUCAUUGAAACCAUGGAGCAACAGUUGAAACAGAUUCAGGUCAAAACACCCUUUGAUCACAAGUCUCUUACUAUCAAAUCACCCAAACAUGUGAAAAUUGAGGCUGCGGGGCCCAUUACCGUUCUGACAAGGAAUUCUAACAGUUCAGAUUUCAACAGCCAUGCCGUCUCUUUAGAUCAACAAGCCAUUCAUUCUAAUGAAAAAACACCAACCAAAAGAACUUCUGGAACAGCCCUCAAUAAUUUCUUAGAGUCGCCUUCUAAGUUACUAGAUACACCUGUAAAAAACUUGCUGGAUACACCUGUCAAAACUCAAUAUGAUUUCCCUUCAUGUAGCUGUGUUGAACAGAUAAUUGAAAAAGAUGAAGGCCCUUUCUAUACUCAUCUAGGAGCUGGUCCUAAUGUCGCUGCUAUUAGAGAAAUAAUGGAAGAACGCUAUGGACAAAAGGGCAAAGCCAUAAGAAUAGAGAAGAUUGUCUACACAGGGAAAGAAGGCAGAAGUGCUCAAGGAUGUCCUAUAGCUAAAUGGGUGAUUCGUCGAAGUGGAACUGAAGAAAAACUUCUUUGUUUAGUGCGAGAACGUGCAGGCCACAGCUGUGAAACAGCUGUGAUAGUUGUACUCAUCUUGGUGUGGGAAGGAAUACCUCGGAGUCUAGCAGACAAGCUGUACUCUGAAUUGUCUGACACUUUAAAGAAGUAUGGCACGCUCACAAACCGUCGGUGUGCACUCAAUGAAGAACGAACCUGUGCAUGCCAAGGUCUGGAUCCUGAGGCUUGUGGUGCUUCUUUUUCUUUUGGUUGUUCGUGGAGUAUGUACUACAAUGGGUGCAAAUUUGCCAGAAGCAAGAUCCCAAGAAAGUUUAAACUAUUAGGCGAUGAUCCAAAAGAGGAAGAGAAGCUAGAAUCCAAUCUGCAAACUUUGUCAACUCUGAUGGCACCCACUUACAAGAAACUGGCACCUGAUGCAUAUAACAACCAGAUUGAAUAUGAACACAGAGCUCCCGAAUGUCGUCUUGGUUUAAAAGAAGGUCGCCCAUUCUCCGGGGUCACUGCCUGCCUGGAUUUUUGCGCUCAUGCUCAUAGAGACCUGCAUAAUAUGCAGAAUGGUAGUACAUUGGUAUGCACACUAACCAGAGAAGACAAUCGUGAAAUUGGCCAAACACCAGAAGAUGAACAAUUGCAUGUGCUUCCCUUGUAUAAAAUAUCCAAUGUAGAUGAGUUUGGAAGCACAGAAGGUCAGGAAGAGAAAAAGCAGAAUGGUAGCAUCCAGGUUCUUAGUUCUUUUCGACGAAAAGUAAGGAUGCUGGCCGAGCCUGUAAAAACCUGCCGGCAAAGGAAGCUGGAAGCCAAGAAAGCAGCAACGGAGAAGCUUGCUUCCAUGGAGAAUGGGUCUAGUAAACACGAGAGAGAAAAAUCAGCCCCAGUACGUCAAAAACAGGUCAAUGCAGAAGCACCAGCUCAUGCCAAGCAAUUAGCAGAUCUUUUGCAUCUUUCAGGACCAGCUAUGUCGCAACAGCAACUUUAUCAACAUCCAUGCCAGGCUCUCCCUUCUAAAUCUCAGUCAAAUCAUGGCAACUCAUACUCUGCUUCUGAUCCUACCAAUCUAUAUAUGAGUCUGUCUAAUCCAGCUAAUUCAUAUUCAAACUCUACACAUCCUUCUGAUCCUUAUGGAGGAUCCAAUCCUGUGAAUAUCUACCAAACUUCAUCACAAGCUACAGGAACUUAUUUGAAUUCUUCCAGUCUCAUGAAUCCCUAUUCUAUUCACUUAGGUCAGAAUAAUCAGUAUCCCCAUUAUCCAUGCAAUGGAAGCUUAUCAAUAGACAACUGUCCUUAUUACAGUUCCUAUUCUGCUCAAUCUCAGCAUAUGGACUUGUUUAGGUAUCAGAGCCAAGAUUCUCUGUCUAAACUAAGUCUACCACCAAUUCAUACAUUGUAUCAGCAUAGGAUUGGAAAUAAUCAGAACUUUGGGCACAGGUACUUGAAUUAUGGAAACCAAAAUGUGCCAGUAGAUGCUUUCAACAAUUGCACCUUUAGACCAAAUGUUCAUCAUGCAGGUUCUUUCCCACCUUACUCCCAGCAUGAGGCUGAUAACCCUUUUAUGGACAUCACCUCCAGGCUGAAAUCUAAUCUAAAUAAUCCAGGUGUAGACUUCAUGAAUAAAAAUGGUGAUCAUCUGUAUCCCCUACCACACCUUGCCCAUGACUAUCACGGCAUGUUCAAUGGCUCUUCUCAUUCCCUCCAUCUCCAAAACAAGAAUAGUCAAGCAGCUAAUGGGUUGUCAAACCUGUUUCCAGGUUUUAACCACAACAGAACUACUUCCCAAACAGGUGUAAAUAAAACAGAGGUGCUCAAUCCAGAGGAUCCUGAUGAUGUCUGGUCAGACAAUGAGCAGAGUUUUCUGGAUCCAGAUAUAGGAGGUGUGGCAGUGGCCCCAUCCCAUGGAUCAAUUCUCAUAGAGUGUGCUAAACGUGAGCUCCAUGCUACGACCCCAUUAAAAAGUCCUAACAGGAAUCACCCUACAAGGAUAUCACUUGUCUUCUACCAACACAAAAGUAUGAAUGAGCCAAAGCAUGGCCUGGCUUUGUGGGAGGCAAAAAUGGCUGAGAAGGCAAGAGAAAAAGAAGAGGACUGUGAAAAGUAUGGUCCAGAUUAUGUGCCUCAGAAAGUGCAUGGUAAAAAAGUAAAACGGGAGCCUGCUGAAUUAAACGAGAACCUGGAACCAACCUAUUUGCGAUUCAUCAGGUCCCUUGCACAAAGGACGAUGUCUCUUACCACAAAUUCCACAGUAACCACAUCUCCAUAUGCCUUUACGCGGGUUACAGGGCCUUAUAACAGAUAUAUAUAAAAGUCAAAUCUUUGUUCAUUACCUCAUCUUUAAAAAAACUCAGUAAUUGCUCCUUUUUAGGUCAUAGACGGAGUCAGGGCAAGAUACAGUAUUUUUCUUUUUGACUUGUCAGUGGGGAAACCUUCUUCAUACCAGCAAAAGAGGUAAUAUUACCACUGCAUAUGUUUGGAGAGCAGUCACAAGUAACAAUUAGAAACUAAAACCAAAGUAUCCUAUGCAAAAUUAAUAAGACAUAACAACCGGUUAGGACUGAAAUAGUGCUGUUACUACUGGUAAAAAAAAUGACCAUAAUUUUUAAAAUUUUACAUUUGUGACCAUUUCCCCAAGAGCAGAUUAAGCAAGAGAGUGCUUUUAUUUUUAAUGAUAAAAACUCUGUAGUAUUUCUUUUGCAGAAAAUAUUAAGCUUCUGCCGGGUGCUCAACCUCUGAUAUACUGAAAUGCUUACUGGAAACGUAGCUUUUUAGCAUGGAACAUUUUCUUUGUUUUUUGGUUUGGGUGUAACUUUAAUAUAGACCGAGAGUAAUCAGGAUGGCUACGCUUAUAGCAAACGAUACAAAGCAAAACACUGAAUUGGUUUUGGCUAUUCUAAAACAUGGUGCUAUAUACAAAAAUGGUGUCUACUGCAACAUUGGAACAGUUUUAAUGCUUUUUAUUAGCACUGGAUAGGUUCAAAAUAGACCCUGCUCCCCUUAAAUUGUAAACAAGACCUUUACAUUUGUGUUGGCCUCCAGUUAGCUUGACUUUAAAAAAAUAAAACAAAACUACAACUCAUUGUUUAAAGCAUGGGAAUCUUGAUGAGACGGGCAAGGUCCAACAAAGCUAUCGCAUGAACAGUGCAGGGGGAAUGCUAAGGGGAUGACGAAUGCAGCAAAGGCAGCAUUUUAAACUAAGAAACCCUCUGCCUAUUCAGCCGUAGAAGAACCAAUCCUCUACACUUCCACGGUUGAGUAGUGAAAUUGAGGGUAUCUUUCAAACAAAACAAUCUUAACCGUAGGUUGGCAAUGGGGGCGGGGGGUGCAUCUUUUUUGGUCCACCUACAGGAACUCUUGAAAUGUUAGGACCACAUCUUAGGUGUACCCAUGAAAUAGUUGAGGAACCCUGCUGUAGAACACUUAUCUAUUCACAAAAUGCAACAGAAACUCCCUGCUUAACUUUUUAAAAAAGAUUCAAAUGACACAGCAAGUCUGGAGAUCACCGGGCUCCAUUUUGCCUGUAUCUGAUUUAGCUUUACAUGAAUUAGCAGAAACAAGCACAAGGCAGUUAGAAGAAUUUAAUUUCUUUUAACCCAGCUCUAGUUUAUCAUGUCCAAAUAUAGGAGACUGGAGUUAGAUUAAGCCAUGAUUUGCUAAUAACCCAGAAUUAGACCAUAUUUUAUGAACCUGGUUUGUUAAAAACCAUGGUUUAGGCAAAGUAGAAUUUCAUAAGAUGGGAUGUAAUUAUGAUCUCUGGUUAACUAUAUAGAAUGUAUGCUUCCAGUCUUCGGUGGCAACACAUCGGAGGAGGAGAAGGAUCUCAGAGAGUUCCUUCAAUUCAUUAAUGUCAAGUUAAACUGGCUUACCGUUGGAUCUGCAAUGGAUCAUUUAGUUUAUAAGUCAGCAAAUUAGCAGUUGUAACUUCGUUAUGUAUGAUCCAAGUGGCUUGUUUGAUAGUACACUUCUUGUUUACAUUUUAUCAGCAUCUAAAUCACAUUUGUUGCAACCCAGAAAAUCAUUAUCAAAAAUAGAUAUCCUAGUCAAUCAACUAACCAGACCAGCUAUCUAGGUCUAAGUAUUUUCCCUAUUCUCUCAGGUGAUCAGCUGCAGUCAGAAUUUGUGACAGUGUACAUGGUCUUUUCUUCCCACCUAAACCAAGACUAUUUAAUAUAGCAAGUACUACUAUCACUAAUAUUCUUUUUCAUGGCUAAUUCAGCUGGAACAUGGAUCAAAGCUUCUUGAUAACGCAGCUGUUGAAUAAUGUUACAAUAACAAGAUGAUGCUAAACCCUUUCCCAGUCUGCCCUACCAUUUUGAAAAAUAUUUUCCUGCUGACUUAAUACCCCACAGAGGAGUUGUAAAUCAGAAAAGAAACUGGUCUUUUGUUUCAAUAAAGCUAUUGAAAAUACAAAAUAUAUAGAUAGAAGAUAAGAGUUUUAUUUGGAUUACCAGGAAAAUCCAAAUAAGGCUUUGAUGCUGCAUUCCUAUAUUCUUAUUCUCCUACUCCUCCAUGCUAAAUAAGUUUUGUUGGAUCUCACCAGAAUUCAUUCAUUUGGCCAAGAUCUAAUUAAGAACAGCAAACAAUAGAAAAAUGUUUUGUGAAUGGUGCUUGAAUGGUGCUUGAAUGGUGUUUAUCAGGCUGCCACUGAUAAACAUUAUCUGGGUGCUAAAACUUUCCAAACAUUUACUGUAAUAUUCAAAGAAACCUUUAAAAAUAUAAGCAAUAAUAAUUUAUUAAAUUUAUAUACCACCCAGAGUCACUGGGAGUCAGGCAGCAUAUACAUUUAAUAAAUUAUUACUGUUGUUGUUGUUGUUAUUAUUUAAAUCUUUUGAUCUUUCAGGCAAAUUCAUGUAAGAUGGAAAGGGUAGGAAGUAUUUGGAACUGCAAACAGAAGGAGAAAGUGUUUAAGCCAGUUUCAGACUGACUGAGAUGAACUGAAACCAUUGCUCAAACACUCGCUAAUGGAACAGAGAAAGAAUAAACCUUCAUUUACUCUGUUCAAAGCAGAACUAACUGGAUUGAAAAAAAGAAUGCAAGCUUCAUGUUUCGGUGCUCAGUUCACACAGGUAUAUUGUGAAUAUUAAUUUUAACGAUAUUGUUGAGAAGCUCUUUGCUCAAAUAGUACACAUUUUAAGUUUUUAAUAUAUUAGUCACAGACAAUAACAACAAGAGUUAAACUUGACAAUUUGUCAUAUGAUUUUAAGCUACUUUUUAAGGAACCAUAACACUCUCCAGAUGAUGGUUACUGCUUUAUUUAAUAAUCAAGGAUUAUUUAUGUUAUGGUAUACGACACUGCUCAGUGUAACGGAGCCCUAUUUUCUAGGAAAUGUUAAGAGUCGAAGCAAAGAAAUACAGGGUUGUUCUGUAGGAGGCUGGGGGCUUGGGGAGAAUACAAGAGGCAGCUGGCUUGCUGUGGCGAUUUUUAAUUGGUAAUUUGUAUAAAAGUGUAAGCAAAAGAGAUGUAUAGUAACUUGUAAACAAUUUUAAUGCAAUGCUUUAGUAUUUUAAUACUGUACAGAUAUAUAAAUAUAUAUUAUAUAUCAAUAUAUCUCUCUCUAUAUAUAUGGGUUUGGAACUGAAUUCACAUCAUGGUGCUACUCGGCCUGUUAUUAAAAAAAUGUGCGCUAAAACUAUGUGGAAAUUAUGUUUGAAUGAUGUUCCUACUUGUCAUAUACCUCAACACUAGUUGGCAGUAGGAUGUUAAAUGGAGAGAUAUAGCGUAUCAUGUUCCCCUGAUUUUCUGCCCUGCUAAUCUUUGGGAAAAAGAAAUUCUCACUACUUGAUAGCAAGUGUAACUUGAACUUUAACACAUAGUUUUGUUCUAAAAAUUCAGGGAUAUAUCCUCUCACAAUUUCCUUAGUAAGCCAAUGUAUCAUCUGUGUAUGUGUAUGUAAAGUUUUAUUGUACAGAUUGAUAAAUAUUAUUGUUGAGGCUUUUUUUUAAAUUCUACUUUGUUUUUGAGAAUUUCAACUGUUUUUUAAUUCUGCUUCUAAUUUUACCUGUAAAUGUAUUGAUGGCAAAUGUUCCGGGGUAAAUCCAUUUCCUCUUUUUUAUGACAAUGAAAGUGCAUUUUUAAUAUUGUAAACUCUGCUUGGGAUUUCUUCUUCUUUCCCCCCUUUUGCAUGUUACAUACAAAACAAACCAUAGAUUGCACUGAGCUGACAAGAAGACAAUUAUAAAAGUAGGUAUUUGGCAGCUGACCGUUUGCAAGAAGGUUGUGCCUUUUCCAAAUUCCAUAAAUAUGUUUUCAACUGUGAUUGCUGUUUUAUUUCAUGAACUUUCAGGCAGGAGUUUAGGGAAUAGAGAGAUUCAUGGAGGAAAAGAUUGCAAGUGGCUACCAGUCAUGAUAGCUAUAGACUAUCUUUAGGGUUGCAGACAACUUAUCUCUGAAUAUUAGUUGUUGAGAAACAACAGUAGGGGUAAAAAAAAGUAUAGUAUUUGUAUUCUGUAUGCAAUAUUUUGCAUCUGGUUGGCUACUGUGAGAAACAGCAUGCCGGACCUUAUAACUUCUGGUCUGGCCCACUUGGUCUUACAUUAGGCAUGUAGUGUGCAUUUAUAAAGUAUGGCAGUGCAAUACAUAUACAUAUGUAUGUAUGUUUGUAAAGGCCCUGAUUCUGAAACAAGUUACUUGUAUUGUUUCACUCAGUGUCAGGGGUAUAUGGGCAUAUUCUGUCUGGGCUGCAGAAAUCAGAAUAAUCACUAUAUGGCAGCAAGAGUUGUUCCGCAUCUCCUUGUUUCCAUCGAGUGAUUUGGUCAUCCAGGCCUUUGCAACCCAGCUACCAUACGCCCAGGGGAACUGGUGCCUUCUGGAUGUUGCUGAGCUUCCACACAAAGCAUCUGUAGUUCAACAAAAUCUGGAGAUGUUCCUUACCCUUGUUUUACACCAGUGUUGCCCGAACU